UCCAGGUACAAAAAAAGUGUGGAUAAGAGACGAGGUAAACGAAGACAAAGCCCGAUUCAGUUCUCUGCCUGUGUUCGGAGGAGGAAUGGAAAAUCUACCGUUAACUUCCUGCUCGGCUCUGUGACGUGUUUGUUGACGGAACCGUCGGUGCCUAAAAUAAGUGCAUUAGUCACUGCUGCAAUUACAUUAACUUUUAAACUUUAUUGAUCAGAAUGAUUCAUCAUAUAUGAAAGUAAGGAGGCGCCGACUAUGCUGUUUGUUAUUUCAACUGGAUGAACCAGACACAUUUUAAUCUAGAGCAACAGAGGAAGAGCUGAAACUAAGGUUUUAGGCGUUGACUACAUUAGGUGCGUCAUAUAUUCGAGUGGACACACACACACACACACUAUUUUGUUAAGUUGCUGUUUUGUUUUUGGGGUUUUUUUUAGCAAAGGAAAGGAAGUCAGUGAAGAAGCCCAUCUGAAGCAGUGAACACACACACCCACCCAGAGCAGUGGGCAGCCAUGCUAACAGCGCCCGGGCAGCAGUUGGGGGUUCGAUGCUUCGCUCAAGGGCAUCUCAGCCCAAGGCCGUCCCAUAUUAACCUAACCACACGUCAAGAAGAAAGAUUAUCAUCCCAUGUCUCUAAUUAAAAGGUGCAUUUAUUAUCUAUGUUGGGGAGUUCUGCAGGGUUGUCUUAAAGGCUGGGUUAUACUGGAUAAUAUACAUUGAAAAUAUUGGAAAAUGCUGGAAUUUCACUUUAGAAAAGCUUCACAGACCCUCCUCAAAAUACCAGUAAAAGUAACUUGAGUAAGUAAUGUGGUGACCAAUAAAGUAACUUGAUGACUUCAACGCAACAA
Molecule: long non-coding RNA, 839 nt
Organism: Neoarius graeffei (lesser salmon catfish)
Lineage: Eukaryota; Metazoa; Chordata; Actinopteri; Siluriformes; Ariidae
Exons: 4
Source: RefSeq, a predicted model, not a curated record